UCCGGUUGAUCCUGCCGGACCCGACUGCUAUUUGGGUGAGGAUAAGCCAUGCGAGUCGAAUGGGAUACCUAAAUUUCCCAUGGCGAACUGCUCAGUAACACAUGAUCAACUUAACCUAUUGAGAAAGAUAACCUCGGGAAACUGAGGAUAAUAUUUCAUAGUUGAAUUGGCUUGGAAAAGUUUUUCAAUAAAAGGGAUAGGGAAAAUGGUCUCUAUCCGCUAUAGGAUAGGAUCGUGUUCGAUUAUGGUAGUUGGUGAGGUAACGGCUCACCAAGCCGAUAAUCGAUAGGGGCCGUGAGAGCGGGAGCCCCGAGAUGGGUACUGAGACAACGACCCAGGCCUUACGAGGCGCAGCAGGCGCGGAACCUCCGCAAUACACGAAAGUGUGACGGGGUUACCCAAAGUGCUCUUUCUAGAGCUGUGGUAGGUGAGUAAUGUUCCCUACUAGAAAGGAGAGGGCAAGGCUGGUGCCAGCCGCCGCGGUAAAACCAGCUCUUCAAGUGGUCGGGAUAAUUAUUGGGCUUAAAGUGUCCGUAGCCGGUUUAGAAAGUUCCUGGUAAAAUCGGGUAGCUUAACUAUCCGUAUGCUAGGAAUACUGCUAUACUAGAGGGCGGGAGAGGUCUGAGGUACUACAGGGGUAGGGGUGAAAUCUUAUAAUCCUUGUAGGACCACCAGUGGCGAAGGCGUCAGACUGGAACGCGCCUGACGGUGAGGGACGAAAGCCAGGGGAGCGAACCGGAUUAGAUACCCCCGUAGUCC
RNAcentral lists this ribosomal RNA (759 nucleotides) under uncultured archaeon. RNAcentral describes it as "bacterial SSU rRNA". It matches the Rfam family "Archaeal small subunit ribosomal RNA", at positions 1 to 747 of the family's 1478-position model. The record is from RNAcentral.